This 459-nucleotide ribosomal RNA is filed under the name uncultured bacterium. Its description in RNAcentral is "partial 16S ribosomal RNA". It matches the Rfam family "Bacterial small subunit ribosomal RNA", at positions 338 to 795 of the family's 1533-position model. The record is from RNAcentral.
CCUACGGGGGGCAGCAGUGAGGAAUAUUGGUCAAUGGCCGGAAGGCUGAACCAGCCAAGCCGCGUGAGGGAGGAAGGCGCAGAGCGUCGCAGACCUCUUUUGCCGGGGGACAAAAGGCCGGCCUCGUCCGGUCCUGAGGUUACCCGGAGAAAAAGCAUCGGCUAACCCCGUGCCAGCAGCCGCGGUAAUCCGGGGGAUGCGAGCGUUAUCAGGAUUCCUUGGGUUUAAAGGGUGCGCAGGCGGGCCUUUAAGCCGGCGGGGAAAUCGCGGGGCUAAAACCCGCCGAGCCGUCGGAACUGGGGGCCUUGAGUGCGGCGGAGGCAUGCGGAAUGCGCGGUGUAGCGGUGAAAUGCAUAGAUAUCGCGCAGAACCCCGAUUGCGAAGGCAGCGUGCCGUGCCGCCACUGACGCUGAGGCACGAAAGCGCGGGUAUCGAACAGGAUUAGAUACCCGAGUAGUC